GGGCGCAUAGCUCAGAUUGGUGAGAGCGCUACACUCACAUUGUAGAGGUCGAAGGUUCGAGUCCUUCUGCGCCCA
This 75-nucleotide transfer RNA is filed under the name Candidatus Omnitrophota bacterium. RNAcentral describes it as "tRNA-Val". It matches the Rfam family "tRNA". From Rfam's summary of the family: Transfer RNA (tRNA) molecules are approximately 80 nucleotides in length. Their secondary structure includes four short double-helical elements and three loops (D, anti-codon, and T loops). The record is from RNAcentral. Lineage: Bacteria; Pseudomonadati; Candidatus Omnitrophota.